This 591-nucleotide long non-coding RNA is filed under the name Lytechinus variegatus (green sea urchin). RNAcentral describes it as "uncharacterized LOC121415075". Lineage: Eukaryota; Metazoa; Echinodermata; Echinoidea; Temnopleuroida; Toxopneustidae. The record is from RNAcentral.
AUUUGGAGGGGCUGAAGUUAUAGCUCUGUACUGGUCGCUAACUUCAGUUUACGUCGAAACGAAUUGUGAUCUGCACACUUGCUGACUUCUGGUCCCUGCUCGCUACUUCAUUCUGGGAGAUGAUCCAUCAUGUAAUGGUCGGACUGAUUUGGACAAAGCCAUUUUUCAUUUGCAAAUUUUGAAGUGAUAAUGAUACUACAGAAAAUUGAUCUUUAUCGAUAUUGGAAACAAGAAAAUUUGAGCACAGUUUUGGAGAGGACUAAGAAUACUGACUUUGACAGGAAUACAGCUUGACAAAAAUAAGAAUACACAAUUUAAAACCAAAGAACAGUUUUAAUGUUACUUAUGGCGCAUUGCAAGAAACUUUCUACUCAUUUACACAUUCCAAAAUCAAGGGUAAGUCCUUUGCUUAAAAACAAACAUGUAGUUGAUUUGCAAUUGAACAUAAGUUUCUUGCAAUGCCCCAUAAUUAUAUUUUGUUCUCAAGCAACUCUUUAAUGUUAUCCAAUGUGCUGAAGGUUAAGUGUUUAUGUAUGUUCACAAUUUUUUCUCAAAAGUUAUAAUAUAUUUGUCCUUUUAAACGUGGACGGU